CGUACCAUGAGGCUAAUUUAAGUAUCGUCGAUGACAAUUCUGCUCGGAUGCAUCUGGUUAAUGGCCUACUAUGAAUUCAAAGAGGAGAUGGUCUAUGUUACCGUUAGGGUUUUGCUCUCAUCUCUAAACAGUUCUCAAACUAUAGCCAUACGAUGAGAUCAAAUCAACGAUUUGCAGGGAAUGGUCUAUGUUACCGUUAGAAAAAACUCCUGAAACCUCUUCUAUAUAUGGGCAAUUUAUUCAAGAAGCAGUGCAGAUUGUUCCGCAUUCUGGUUUUUUUGGGUUUUGUUUGUGUUUUAUUUCAUGUUUAUGGCAUGGCCAUGCCCCUUCUAUGUUUUUUUUUUCUUUUGCCUGUGUCUCCAUUUUUUUAAUUUUUUAUUUUCUGUGGAUGGUGAUUGGAGGAGGACAACAAUGAGUAGAAUUAUACAUCCUUACGAGUGGCUGAUAGGAGUUGCAGCUAAGAAAUACUUAUGCGUUUGCUAUGGAAACAGGGACAAUUAGAGAAAAUGAAUACACGGGUGUUAAAGCCAUGCAGACACAUGAAACAGGAUAAAAAUGGGCAAAAGUGCCUGUGGCAUGCCAGUGACAUGCCAGAGGCCGUCUCUAUAAAGCAAAUGAAACUAUUCAAACUUUCUAGGCUUGGGGCUGAAUACAGUCAUGGGGUUUGCAUUAAAUCUUUUUCUUUUGAGGAAUGACUGUAGACAAAUCAGAGUUCAGUUCUCAGUUUGGUCAUGCUUCUUAUAUUCAUGCCCAAAGUUGGUUUGUACUGAGAUGUUUGGCUUGGUCAUACUUUCGGUUAAAUGCCUUCCUUGCAAUUAUUUUAUUGUGAAUUUAAUGUAGGUUGAAGUUUUUUUUCCUUAAAUUUAGUUGCACAUGUUUCUUUAUUUCAUUUUUUUCCAAAUUAUGUCAAUCAUGUAGACUGUUGCAGGUUUCCUGCAAAUCUGAAAAGAUUCAAUAACAAUGUUCAUAAAAUCAUGUAUAAUGUGUUAAAGACGUC
Cryptomeria japonica (Japanese cedar) is the source of this 997-nucleotide long non-coding RNA. RefSeq lists it as uncharacterized. The record is from RefSeq and is a predicted model, not a curated record. Lineage: Eukaryota; Viridiplantae; Streptophyta; Pinopsida; Cupressales; Cupressaceae. The transcript is spliced from 2 exons.